RNAcentral lists this transfer RNA (72 nucleotides) under Camelus ferus (Wild Bactrian camel). It matches the Rfam family "tRNA". From Rfam's summary of the family: Transfer RNA (tRNA) molecules are approximately 80 nucleotides in length. Their secondary structure includes four short double-helical elements and three loops (D, anti-codon, and T loops). Lineage: Eukaryota; Metazoa; Chordata; Mammalia; Artiodactyla; Camelidae. The record is from Rfam by way of RNAcentral.
GUCGGUAUAGCUCAGUGGUAGAGCACGUGCUUAGCAUGUACAAGGUCCUGGGCUCAAGCCCCAGUACCUCCA